RNAcentral lists this unclassified non-coding RNA (400 nucleotides) under soil metagenome. RNAcentral's name for it is "partial contains 5.8S ribosomal RNA, internal transcribed spacer 2, and large subunit ribosomal RNA". The stretch from base 1 to 122 matches the Rfam family "5.8S ribosomal RNA", at positions 35 to 154 of the family's 154-position model. The record is from RNAcentral.
GAUGAAGAACGCAGCGAAAUGUGAUACUUGGUGUGAAUUGCAGAAUCCCGUGAACCAUCGAGUCUUUGAACGCAAGUUGCGCCUCAAGCCAUUAGGUUGAGGGCACGUCUGCCUGGGCGUCACAUAUCGUUGCCUGAUGCCAGUUUCCUCGUGAUGGGUGACUGUGCAGGGCGAAUGAUGGCUUCCCGUGAGCAUUGUUGCCUCAUGGUUGGUUGAAAAUUGAGUCCUUGGUAGGGAGCGCCGUGAUAGAUGGUGGUUGAGUGACGAACGAGACCCAAUCAUGUGAGACCCCUACCGAAUUUGGCCUUCAUGACCCACAUGCGUCUUUGGAACGCUCAUGACGAGACCUCAGGUCAGGCGGGGCUACCCGCUGAGUUUAAGCAUAUCAAUAAGCGGAGGA